AUUGAACGCUGGCGGCAGGCCUAACACAUGCAAGUCGAACGGUAGCACAGAGAGCUUGCUCUCGGGUGACGAGUGGCGGACGGGUGAGUAACGUCUGGGAAACUGCCCGAUGGAGGGGGAUAACUACUGGAAACGGUAGCUAAUACCGCAUAACGUCGCAAGACCAAAGUGGGGGACCUUCGGGCCUCACACCAUCGGAUGUGCCCAGAUGGGAUUAGCUAGUAGGUGGGGUAAUGGCUCACCUAGGCGACGAUCCCUAGCUGGUCUGAGAGGAGGACCAGCCACACUGGAACUGAGACACGGUCCAGACUCCUACGGGGGGCAGCAGUGGGGAAUAUUGCACAAUGGGCGCAAGCCUGAUGCAGCCAUGCCGCGUGUAUGAAGAAGGCCUUCGGGUUGUAAAGUACUUUCAGCGGGGAGGAAGGCGGUGGAGUUAAUAACUUCACCGAUUGACGUUACCCGCAGAAGAAGCACCGGCUAACUCCGUGCCAGCAGCCGCGGUAA
This 504-nucleotide ribosomal RNA is filed under the name uncultured bacterium. RNAcentral describes it as "partial 16S ribosomal RNA". It matches the Rfam family "Bacterial small subunit ribosomal RNA", at positions 29 to 523 of the family's 1533-position model. The record is from RNAcentral.